Heligmosomoides polygyrus is the source of this 75-nucleotide non-coding RNA. Lineage: Eukaryota; Metazoa; Nematoda; Chromadorea; Rhabditida; Heligmosomidae. The record is from Rfam.
GCGCCGGUGGGGUAAAGUCGUAGAGCAUUCCCGCCCGGUCAGAGGGAGGUGCGGGUUCGAGUCCCGCCUGGCGCU